GCGCUCGUAGCUCAGCUGGAUAGAGCACCAGGUUGCGGACCUGGGUGUCGGGGGUUCAAAUCCCUCCGAGCGCG
This 74-nucleotide transfer RNA is filed under the name Candidatus Omnitrophota bacterium. RNAcentral's name for it is "tRNA-Arg". It matches the Rfam family "tRNA". Rfam says of the family: Transfer RNA (tRNA) molecules are approximately 80 nucleotides in length. The record is from RNAcentral. Lineage: Bacteria; Pseudomonadati; Candidatus Omnitrophota.